This 250-nucleotide ribosomal RNA is filed under the name uncultured prokaryote. RNAcentral describes it as "partial 16S ribosomal RNA". It matches the Rfam family "Bacterial small subunit ribosomal RNA", at positions 524 to 773 of the family's 1533-position model. The record is from RNAcentral.
UACGUAGGUGGCAAGCGUUAUCCGGAAUUACUGGGUGUAAAGGGUGUGUAGGCGGGUUUACAAGUCAGAUGUGAAAAUUAUGGGCUCAACUCAUAACCUGCAUUUGAAACUGUAGAUCUUGAGAGUCGGAGGGGUAGAUGGAAUUCCUGGUGUAGCGGUGAAAUGCGUAGAUAUCAGGAGGAACACCGGUGGCGAAGGCGAUCUACUGGACGACCACUGACGCUGAGACACGAAAGCGUGGGGAGCAAAC